CCGAAAGUCGGCAUCAUUCCUAGUCUCAACAAGUUUAUACUUUUACUUAAUUACUGGCUUAUAUUCUCAAUUCAAGGUUUGCCCACAAAUGUAUUUGUUUAACAGGUUGCGACAUUGAGUUAAGUUCCUUAUUCAGCUCUUUAAGUUGAACCUUAGUGCAAUUAAUCUUGAUAGCACUUAAUCUCAAUGUUUAAAUAUUUGUUAGCAAAAAACAACAACCCAUGUUCCCAAUUAAAAUCAAAACAGCACGAUUUUUUCCCAAAUUGGCCCAAUUUCAAACACGGUUAAAAUAAACUCUGCACAGAGCUAGCCACGAUAGUUCUAGCAAAAUUUAAAGUCUUUUAUAAAAAUAACUGGCUUUAUAUGCUUAGUUCACUAAGAUUUAUUACUAUUUUGAAGUUCUUGUGUUUUAAAAAUUGUUUAUGUCACAUAUAGGGGAAAUGAUUAAUUUAAGUAGAGCCCGGAUGUUUGCAAAACAAUAGCAAUAUAUUGCUUUUAGGUUUGAAACUUUAAAUCUAAUAUCUGUCCUACAAAAACAAUGCCAUCAAAGAAAAUGAAGAAAUCAACUAAUAUCAAUUCCAUAUCACAUACAGCUAAUAUGUUUAACCAGAAUAUGUUAUAGUUACUGAGUAUAAAGACCACUGGUAGCAAGAUAGACAGACUUCACCAUAUAGGGUCAUCUGUAUUUCUACAUUUCGGCUAAUCCAUCGACAAAACGUGUAAAAUCAAAUACUCAUGCACUUACAGUACAGUCAUGUAUUCAACUCACAACAAUUGUUUCUUAUGAUAUGUAAUACAGUUGUAUUGUCUUACAUUAAAGUUGUUUAGUCUCAGUUAUUAAAGUUAUAUACUAUCACAGUGUUUUUUUUCAUUCAAAAUCAGGUCCGGUUGGGUCCGGUAACCAGACCCAUUCCCAAUAGGAAAAAGUAUAUAUUUUUCCCAACUGGGAGCUAAAAAUUCCUAAUGGAAACAAAAAAAAAUAUUUUGUUAAGAUCAAUAUUUUGUUCAUCUUCCAUCCAUAUAAGAUCAACCUUAGUAAAUAUAAUACUGGACACACUUGUAUCCUCAAUUCUGAAGCAUUCGUUAACAAAAGAACAACAACACUAAUUUCCCAAUUUAGUCAAAACGCCUCAUUCCCAAAAUGGUGAAAAAAAAACACUGUAUCACAUUUAAAGUUGUACAAUCUUUGGGCACAAAUACUACAACUUGCUGAAGAAAUUCAGCACGAAGAUGUCCUGCGUCAGCCUAAUGUGCCUCCUAGCAACUCUUCCAACAGCGGAGCCUUGGUGAGUUUGACUUCCAUCCAAGGUUCUAUGUCGCUUAGCAACAAUUAGAUGCUUGGUAUUAACAAAUUGUUCCGUACGAGUCGCUCAAACAUAAACGAUCUGAUCCAACAACAGUAGUCGGGAAUUCCCGGGUUUGGGGUGGUGACUUUGUCGUCGGGACUCUCUUUCUAUUGCCUGGUCGCAGAGGCAGCAGCAACAAGAACAACAAGUAUUAUUUGAGCGAUGCUCUGUGGUAUGGAGCUUAAUGUAUGUGCUUUAAAUAUCUAAAAUAUUAAUUUUAUGAUGCUAUAUUCUUAAAUCUUUUUUUCUAAAAAUAAGGGAUGUAGUUGAUUCUUGUUGGUAAUUUCAUGUCAUCGUCGGUUCCUCAAAAAACUCUGUUGCUCUGGUCUCUUUCCUACCAUUGAGUAACUAAAUGGUAAUUAAAUUGAAUGCGUUUAAAUUCGCUUUUAUUAUUAUUUAAUUUGAGUUACAAUGCUAUGAGGUUAAAUUUUAUUUACACAUAUAUAUCAUGAAUAUUGCUGGGCCAAGUGUGAGGUUUAGCGAUCCAAUACCGGUUUAAACCCUCAAUUCUUUGCACGGACAGUUCCCAGCUUUAUUCUUAUAUGUAUGUAUUAGGCUGUUUCGUAUUGUUUAAGGCAAUUGGUCACUUGUCUUAAAUAAAGGACCAACUAAUUGUAUAUAAUGAGAAUGCAAUACUGCUCCAGACGCUGGAGUUUCACUUCUUUAUAUUAAGUAUCAUCCCAGAUUAGCCUGUGCAGACUGCGCAUACAUUAAGUCCUAUUAAAGUGUCAUCCCAGAUUAGCCUGUGCAGACUGCGCAUACAUUAAGUCCUAUUAAAGUGUCAUCCCAGAUUAUCCUGUGCAGACUGCACAUACAUAAAGUCCUAUUAAAGUGUCAUCCCAGAUUAGCCUGUGCAGACUGCACAUACAUUAAGUCCUAUUAAAGUGUCAUCCCAGAUUAGCCUGUGCAGACUGCACAUACAUUAAGUCCUAUUAAAGUGUCAUCCCAGAUUAGCCUGUGCAGACUGCACAUACAUUAAGUCCUAUUAAAGUGUCAUCCCAGAUUAGCCUGUGCAGACUGCACAUGCAUUAAGCCCUAUUAAAGUGUCAUCCCAGAUUAGCCUGUGCAGACUGCACAUACAUUAAGUCCUAUUAAAGUGUCAUCUCAGAUAAGAUCCCAGAUUAGCCUGUGCAGACUGCACAUACAUCAAGUCCUAUUUAUCCGAGAAUGAGGCUCAUAUAGUUCACUUAACGUCAGUCCUUUUUCUACCUGAUUGAGGAAAAGUUCCUAGCAUAAAAUGUGAAUUCUGUGAUUUUAAAUUUAUCAAACUUGGUAAAUAAAUAGCAAAUAAAAGUUAAUCUGAUAUCAGUUUUAAUCAAAGGUCAGGGCAUAGUUUUGUAUAUUUUUCUGCUGAAAUUUAGCCCUUGAACAACAGUUUCUCCUUGAUUUUAAAAAAAUCUAAUUUAAUUAUUAAAUUCUAUUAAAUUUAAGUAAAACAAUUAUUUAAUCCCUUCAGCACAUUAUACAAUUAUUAUCUUCAUUUAUUUUCAAUAUUUAUUUAAAUUGCCAAAUUUUGUUUUAAGAGCUAGUUCCUAGCAAUCAAUAGAUUGGUACUCUGCUGAAAAACAGGAUCUCUGGUCAGCUGGGCCCAGACGCCCAGCAACACUUCCUGGCCCAGGACCUUGGGGCAAAUGCUCAACAUGUUCUAUCUGCAUGGUGAAGCCUGUCUAAACCUUGGGCUCCAAACUUUCCUGCUGUGGGGCCGAGAUUACCUCAUCCAUAAGAGGCCUUAUACUCACAAGUUCAGGCCCAGAGAACGGUGUUCCCCAACUACAACACAACCAGUACGUCUCAAUAGAGGACACCCUUCCUGAAAACCUCGCUGAGUGCGACUGCGCCAUACGUGACCCUUCAGUGAACUGAGAUUCCAGGCGGAAUGUCAAACUGGUACUACUCAGGUCUCCAGAAAUAGCCUCAGCCUUGGACGCAGGUUCAUGAUGCACCCAUGGCCUUACUUAUUUCUGAACAUCUCAAUCUCACAGCAAUUGAUGUGAAUUAAUGAUAAUAAGACUCCACAAACCACGUUAUGGAGAGGGUAUAUUGGAGUCAAUGUUCUCUUAUCAUGUUAAGUGUUUGGAAGUACAUAGCCACGUCAACGCAGCAGCAAAAACAACAGUAGCAGUCUAGUCAAGGGUCACCCCGCAACGUUCACUGCCUAGCGAUGAAAUCAUCCACCAUUACAUGUAGUUGGUUGAGGGUCGACCAAAACCACCCAGUGCCUUACGAUGAAAACCUCCAACGGGACUGUGACCUUGCCCUUGGACUCACCUAAUGGUCAGGUUCAAGGUCACAUGGGCUUAGAUAGUCACUGCAGUAAGAAUGUUUAAGAUUUUAAAGAAGAUGACUUCACAAUAGGACAUCCGAGACUGCAAUGACGAAAUGAGUGUCCUCACUUCAGCAGUGGAGGCCAAUACACAAUACAAGAGUUUCCAGCGGCUUACCUUAUCUGAAAACCGUGGUAGCAGAGCAAUGAGUAUAUCCCAGGAGCAUUUGCAGUCACAGCAAGUGAACCAGCGGCAGUCAUCGUCUCUAGAUUCCGAGAUCCCCAUGCUUCACAACCCUCAGUCUAUGAACAUCAUGCAGAGCAAACCUUGGACGACCAUUGACGAAAUCAAACCAGCAAAUCAGAAGGACAGCCUGUUGCUACAGUUGUUAUCAUAUUAACCCCAGUCAUACGGAAGAAGCUCAGAGAUAUAAAUGCUGUUUAAGAUGUGCUUGUCUCUGCAUACUCCAUGUCUGAUGUGAACAUGUACAAUUGAAGGUCUCUACAUACACCAUGUCUGGUGUGAACAUGUACAAUUGAAGGUCUCUACAUACACCUUGUCUGGUGUGAACAUGUACAAUUGAAGGUCUCUACAUACACCAUGUCUGGUGUGAACAUGUACAAUUGAAGGUCUCUGCAUACCCCAUGUCUGGUGUGAACAUGUACAAUUGAAUGUCUCUACAUACACCUUGUCUGGUGUGAACAUGUACAAUUGAAGGUCUCUACAUACCACAUGUCUGGUGUGAACAUACACAAUUGAAGGUCUGUACAUACCCCACGUCUGGUGUGAACAUGUACAAUUGAAGGUCUCUACGUACCCCAUGUCUGGUGUGAACAUGUACAAUUGAAGGUCUCUACAUACCCCAUGUCUGGUGUGAACAUGUACAAUUGAAGGUAUCUACAUACCCCGUGUCCGGUAUGAACAUGUACAAUUGAAGGUCUCAUCUUUGUAAUCGGGACAGGUGGAAAAUUAAUGAAUUGAUGCAGACAGAAGUCGCAUAAUGACAAAUCAAACAAAACGUGGAAAUCCAGACAGUCUUGUGGCCAGCCAUGUUUUUAUGUGACCAUCCAAGUUGUGUUCAAAGAAAACAAUAUUUCUUUUUUAUUGGAACUAUGAUGCUGAUAGUCAUUUUAUGUAUAAGGCUUUUAUGAACUAUAUUUAAAUACUCAGUAUAAUAAGAUUAAGAUUACUUGAUAAAAGCAAUAAUGAACAAUAUUAUUUUAAGAGCAAAAUUAGCAAGUCUAUCCAAUUACUGUGUCUGUAUUAUGAAAUUUUAUUUUGAAAAUAUUAAGGAAAAUAUAAUGUUACUCAAUAUAUGUCUAUGAAUGUUGAUUUUAACAUUUGUCAAAGCUGUUUAAAUGAUGCUGGUAACUUUGACAAAAUUGAAAGAAAAUGUAUUAUUUUCAUGUAAAGUGACAUGCUUCAGUUUGUUUUGCUUAACAUGUAAUAUAGAGGUGGUAGUUACACACAUUGUUUAGACAUGUGGAUAAUUUUAAUGCUAAGGCUUUGAUACUCUUAAGUGUGCCCAUUGGUGUCAGGUGUUUUUGUCAAGCAUCUUGUUUAUUAUCUUAGUAUUUCAAGACAAUAUUCAUUAAUUUUAGACAAAAUCAUUUAAUCUUCCUUAAAUUGUCUAUUCGGUAUUGACUACCAGUUAUUUAUUAAUUUACUUGAACAUGAUUUAAUAAUGACUUUUUUGUUGCUUUAAAUGCUUUAUAUGUUUUAAAACUAAGCAUUUAAAAACGAAAAUAUAAGAUGUGGGAAUAAUGUCUAAAGUUAUGAUAGUUAUUUUUUGUUUUUGUAAAGUUAAUUAUGCCUUAAAUGUUUGUGUAUAGACAUUUAGACGACAAGAUUAACCUGACCAAGAAUUCUUGAUCAAUGUGUAUAUCGGUCAGUACUUUUGUAUAUAGAGCGAUUGCGAAAUGAUUGUAUUGUUAAUGAAAAUCAUGCGUUUAUUACUGCCAUUUUGAUUUUCGCUGUUAACAUGUAUUUGUACAAACAAUUUUCAUCGUGUACAUCUUUUAGAUGCCAGAUAAUAAAAACAAAAAUUGCUUGUGGAGAUGCUCAUUUGACCCUUUCUAAAUGAUACAGAACAACACAUUCUGAAGAGGCAAAUAUCCUUUAGACAAGAGGAACAUCUUGUUACUAGUAUAUGUAAUGCUUUUCACUAAAUAAAGUCAAGCAACUAUUGAAAGAUUGGUGUAACUUUGUUUUGCAUUAUCUUAAGAAAAAUUAAUCUUUUCUACUUGGAAAUCAGUCAAUUGCAAAUCAAGCGAGAGUGAAUAAACAUGCUAACACUUGACAAUAAUUGAAUUGUCUCUCUUUGUACGUAAGAUAUAGGGAUGUUGUUGCUUGAAAAACAAAGUUGUAUCCGUUGUAAGAUAAUGCUUUUGUUGAUCUCUCAACAUAACAAGUACAUUCAUACAGUUAGUAAAAAUAUGACACUCUUUAUUCUCAGCCAUCAGUUUGUAUUGGGAUUUUGUGGAAUACUUACUAAACUAAUAUAGGUCUGUUUAAUGAAUUAAUAGUUAUGGUACAAUAGGAUACUGAGUGUUACAAAACAUGUGUAAUAAAAAUAUAAUGUCAUUUAUUUGAAAUCAUAAAAUUUAGUUGUCCAUACAAUGCUUACAGUUUUGCAAUUGCGAUGAUAAAGGAAAUGUUCUGCUCAAAAUGUCUUUUUAGCAAUCAUAUUGUACUUGUAUUUAAAUUAUACAUAAUAAGAAUUGACUUAUGGCUGAUGAUAGCGGCAGUAUACUAGUUGUGUUACAGUUUGUUUCACUUGACCAUUAGACCAUAUUUCCUUAAAAAUGUGAUUGUUUAUAUUGAACUUUAAUUGAAUGCAUGAAACAUUGUUGUUCUGUUGCUUCACAGCUGAAAAUAGCUUUAGAGUGUUUGUAAAAUUGUAUGAAAUGUUUCAAAUAAAUCAUAUUGAUUACAUAGAAAAUAAAAUUACAUUUUGCGUUACUUUGAAUGCAUAACAAACAAUUGUUACCAUACAAUCAUAUUAGUAUUAAACUUAAUUAAUACUUUUAGAUGUAUUUUUUACAAUAAUGUGUUAAUAUUGUCAUCCAUUCCAAAUAAGCAUUGUGCAUUCGUAAAUAUAGGGUGUAUAUACACUGCUUAGAUGCCUGUUUUAAAUUGCUUGUGUACGUCAUAUUGAUUAAAGACUCUUUAUGUAUUGCAUAUUUGUGUGUGCCUAUGUCUUACUUAUCUCUUCACAGUCCUUAAAUUACUGCAAAUAGUAUUUUAAUAAUGUUAAAAUAUUUAUCUAAACUAUAACCAGGUUAUCAUGACUAUUCGUGAAUAUUUCUUUGAAUGUGCGGUAGGGAAAACAUUGUUUGCUGGAAGGUUAGAAACUUAAUGUUGACAUCUUGAAAGAUGGCAGUAAACAUUUAACUGCAGAGUAGCUGGGGAAAAGAUUGCUGUUAAACAAUGUAAGAUAGAACUCCACGCAAGAUAUGUCAUGCAUGCGAUAUGCAUGAACUAUCUUUUUAAAAUAAUUUGGAUCUGAAUUAUCUUUAAGAAAUGGUAUGGUUAUGAGGGUCUCUAUGUGCAAAAUGUUGCAUUUAUUUACUGUACAAGUUAUUGCUUAACAUUGAUUUUGUUAUGGAAAUAAUAUAGUUUAUGUGACUUAAAGAGAUAUACAUGUUUAUGUUAGUGAUGUGUUUUUGCUGACCCAAGUAUGUUCUUGCACACUAUUUAAAGUAGAUAACUACAAGUUAUCUCAUUCAAAUGGAAAUAGUAUUUUACUGUGAAAAAGUGUUGUGAGUUCAAAUAAAAAUACUAUGAA
Molecule: long non-coding RNA, 7397 nt
Organism: Dreissena polymorpha
Lineage: Eukaryota; Metazoa; Mollusca; Bivalvia; Myida; Dreissenidae
Exons: 10
Source: RefSeq, a predicted model, not a curated record